This 446-nucleotide ribosomal RNA is filed under the name Leptobrachium montanum (mountain spadefoot toad). Its description in RNAcentral is "partial 12S rRNA". It matches the Rfam family "Bacterial small subunit ribosomal RNA", at positions 23 to 826 of the family's 1533-position model. The record is from RNAcentral. Lineage: Eukaryota; Metazoa; Chordata; Amphibia; Anura; Megophryidae.
CUUUCAGUAUUAAUUAAACUUACAUGCAGUCUCCCACUCCAGUGAAAUGCCCUUUAUCUUCCAACUAUUAGAAGAAAAGGAGUUGGUAUCAGGCUCAAAUAGCCCAAGACACCUAGUUUAGCCACACCUCCAAAGGACUUCAGCAGUGAUUAACAUUAAACAUUAGCGCAAGCUAAAUUUAGUUAUAAUUAAUAUGGUCGGUUAAUUUCGUGCCAGCCACCGCGGUUAUACGAAAGACUUAAACUGAAAGCCACCGGCGUAAAGCGUGAUUAAGGGUAAAAAUUUUUCUAAAGCUAAACUCUGAUUUAAUUGUUGUAAGUUAUUAUCAGUUGGAAACUCAUUCACGAAAGUAGCUUUAUCACUCCUGACUUCACAGUAGCCAAGACCCAAACUGGGAUUAGAUACCCCACUAUGCUUGGCCCUAAACUUUGAUAAUUACAUUUCUC